GGAGUUAGUGAAGUGGUAUCACGUCGGUCUCCAAAACCGAAAGCGCAGGUUCGAUUCCUGCACACUCUG
Molecule: transfer RNA, 69 nt
Filed under: Arthrobacter pascens
Lineage: Bacteria; Bacillati; Actinomycetota; Actinomycetes; Micrococcales; Micrococcaceae
Description: tRNA-Trp
Rfam family: tRNA
About the family: Transfer RNA (tRNA) molecules are approximately 80 nucleotides in length. Their secondary structure includes four short double-helical elements and three loops (D, anti-codon, and T loops).
Source: RNAcentral